This 327-nucleotide ribosomal RNA is filed under the name uncultured eukaryote. RNAcentral describes it as "SSU rRNA". It matches the Rfam family "Eukaryotic small subunit ribosomal RNA", at positions 199 to 523 of the family's 1831-position model. The record is from RNAcentral.
AGAGAUGCUUUUAUUAGAUGAAAACCAAACAGAUUCGUCUGUAUAUUUGGUGACUCGGAAUAACUUUGCGCUGAUCGCAUUGCCUUGUGCACGCGACGUUUCCUUCCAAGGUGUGCCCUAUCMACUGUCGAGUGUCAUAUAGACGCUCACAGUGGUUUUGACGGGUAACGGGGAAUCAGGGUUCGAUUCCGGAGAGGCACCGCUUAAAAACGGCUACCACAUCCAAGGAAGGCAGCAGGCACGCAAAUUACCCAAUGAACGAAGUUCGAGGUAGUGACGAAAAAUAACAAUACAAGACUCUUCCGAGCCUUGUAAUUGAAUGAUACA